GGGAAUGUAGCUCAGUGGGGGAGCGCUUGCCUUACAAGCAAGAGGUCGCAGGUUCAAUCCCUGCCAUUCCCACCA
RNAcentral lists this transfer RNA (75 nucleotides) under Athalassotoga saccharophila. RNAcentral's name for it is "tRNA-Val". It matches the Rfam family "tRNA". From Rfam's summary of the family: Transfer RNA (tRNA) molecules are approximately 80 nucleotides in length. Their secondary structure includes four short double-helical elements and three loops (D, anti-codon, and T loops). The record is from RNAcentral. RNAcentral also lists the same sequence under 4 other names. Lineage: Bacteria; Thermotogati; Thermotogota; Thermotogae; Mesoaciditogales; Mesoaciditogaceae.